This 384-nucleotide ribosomal RNA is filed under the name uncultured bacterium. RNAcentral describes it as "bacterial SSU rRNA". It matches the Rfam family "Bacterial small subunit ribosomal RNA", at positions 29 to 400 of the family's 1533-position model. The record is from RNAcentral.
AACGAACGCCGGCGGCACGCCUAACACAUGCAAGUCGCACGAGAAAGUCCCCGCAAGGGGACCGGUAAAGUGGCAGACGGGUGAGUAACGCGUGGGUAACCUACCCUCGAGUGGGGGAUAACCCCGCGAAAGCGGGGCUAAUACCGCAUAACAUCCCGGAACGCGAGUUUCGGGAUCGAAGGUGGCUCGCAAGAGCUACCGCUCGGGGAGGGGCUCACGUUCCAUCAGCUAGUUGGUGGGGUAACGGCCUACCAAGGCGGNGACGGAUAGCUGGUCUGAGAGGACGACCAGCCACACUGGCACUGAGACACGGGCCAGACUCCUACGGGAGGCAGCAGUGAGGAAUCUUGCGCAAUGGACGAAAGUCUGACGCAGCGAUGCCGC